This 430-nucleotide ribosomal RNA is filed under the name uncultured bacterium. RNAcentral's name for it is "partial 16S ribosomal RNA". It matches the Rfam family "Bacterial small subunit ribosomal RNA", at positions 31 to 507 of the family's 1533-position model. The record is from RNAcentral.
GAACGCUGGCGGCAUGCCUAACACCUGCAAGUCGAACGAGACCUUCGGGUCUAGUGGCGCACGGGUGCGUAACGCGUGGGAACCUGCCCUUAGGUUCGGAAUAACUCCCCGAAAGGGGUGCUAAUACCGGAUAAUGUCUUCGGACCAAAGAUUUAUCGCCUUUGGAUGGGCCCGCGUUGGAUUAGCUAGUUGGUAGGGUAAAAGCCUACCAAGGCGACGAUCCAUAGCUGGUCUGAGAGGAUGAUCAGCCACACUGGGACUGAGACACGGCCCAGACUCCUACGGGAGGCAGCAGUGGGGAAUAUUGGACAAUGGGCGAAAGCCUGAUCCAGCAAUGCCGCGUGAGUGAUGAAGGCCUUAGGGUUGUAAAGCUCUUUUACCCGGGAUGAUAAUGACAGUACCGGGAGAAUAAGCUCCGGCUAACUCCGUG